GGUAAGAUGGCUGAGUGAUUAAGCGGUGGAUUGUAGUCCCAUCAACAGAGGUUCAAGUCCUCUUUUUACCA
Molecule: transfer RNA, 71 nt
Filed under: Parapristipoma trilineatum (chicken grunt)
Lineage: Eukaryota; Metazoa; Chordata; Actinopteri; Lutjaniformes; Haemulidae
Description: tRNA-Tyr
Rfam family: tRNA
About the family: Transfer RNA (tRNA) molecules are approximately 80 nucleotides in length. Their secondary structure includes four short double-helical elements and three loops (D, anti-codon, and T loops).
Source: RNAcentral